Molecule: ribosomal RNA, 253 nt
Filed under: uncultured bacterium
Lineage: Bacteria
Description: partial 16S ribosomal RNA
Rfam family: Bacterial small subunit ribosomal RNA
Source: RNAcentral
UACGUAGGGGGCAAGCGUUGUCCGGAAUUAUUGGGCGUAAAGAGCUUGUAGGCGGUUUGUCGCGUCUGCUGUGAAAAUCCGGGGCUCAACCCCGGACUUGCAGUGGGUACGGGCAGACUAGAGUGUGGUAGGGGAGACUGGAAUUCCUGGUGUAGCGGUGAAAUGCGCAGAUAUCAGGAGGAACACCGGUGGCGAAGGCGGGACUCUGGGCCGAUACUGACGCUGAGGAGCGAAAGCGUGGGGAGCAAACAGG